GGGUCCUGGAAACAGAAAUAAGAGCAUUUCUCACAGUCUAGUAAAAUCUUACUUGAAAAAUUAAUUCAGAUUAAUGUGGUUAUGAACAUAAUCACAUGAUCUGAAAGCUGGCAGAAAGUCUGUAAACAUCUAAAAGAAAACAAAGAUGGAACAAAUGUCUUCAUGAGGAAGAGUGCCCAAGGACACUGAAAAUGAGAAUGACGGCAGCUGGCACUGUCUGCUUCUCUUUCUCCUGAUUUCACCUCUGGCCAUGUCCUGUCGCUGCUGAAGAGAUGCCAAGUUUCUCAUAAAGUUCUGCAUUUGGCAUGGAGCCCACAGACAGUGCCAGGAAAGAAGAUGAAGAAACUUUUGCCAGUCAUCCCUUUGUAAAUGAUCACUGCACAGCAGGAAGCAGGAGAAUUUACUUCAACUACAGCCAAGUCAGUGGGUUAAUUUUUGUAAACAUGUCUUAAGUGCUCUGCCUCUUAUCUUUAUGCCAUGGAUUUUGUACCAAAAAGACUGGCUACAAAGCUGCUCAGGCAGCAAUCUCAGAGUUUUGACAUUCAAAUAGUUCAUUAAUCACUUUCUGUCGGCCUCUUUUCUUUGGCCUUAUUUUGUUAAUGCAACUACAAGGGACCUAGCAUGGCAGCUGAGACUGCUCCAGAAUGUAAUGUUACUUUAAUACAGAAGUGUGAAACAGUGCAAGAAGAAAAUACUUAUGCAACUAUAUCUCAACCCUCCAGGAUCCUCAGGAAAAGUCUUCAA
Long non-coding RNA from Mauremys mutica (yellowpond turtle), 744 nucleotides. RefSeq lists it as uncharacterized. The record is from RefSeq and is a predicted model, not a curated record. The transcript is spliced from 4 exons. Lineage: Eukaryota; Metazoa; Chordata; Testudines; Geoemydidae.